GGCGGGGUAGCUCAGUUGGUCAGAGCAGCGGAAUCAUAAUCCGCGUGUCGAGGGUUCAAAUCCCCCCCCCGCUACCA
Molecule: transfer RNA, 77 nt
Filed under: Rickettsiales bacterium
Lineage: Bacteria; Pseudomonadati; Pseudomonadota; Alphaproteobacteria; Rickettsiales
Description: tRNA-Met
Rfam family: tRNA
About the family: Transfer RNA (tRNA) molecules are approximately 80 nucleotides in length. Their secondary structure includes four short double-helical elements and three loops (D, anti-codon, and T loops).
Source: RNAcentral